UACGUAGGUGGCAAGCGUUGUCCGGAUUCAUUGGGUUUAAAGGGUGCGUAGGUGGCUAACUAAGUCAGUGGUGAAAUAUCUCAGCUUAACUGAGAGGGUGCCAUUGAUACUGGAUAGCUUGAGUACAGAUGAGGUAGGCGGAAUUGACGGUGUAGCGGUGAAAUGCAUAGAUAUCGUCAAGAACACCGAUAGCGAAGGCAGCUUACCAAGCUGUAACUGACACUGAGGCACGAAAGUGUGGGGAUCAAACAGG
RNAcentral lists this ribosomal RNA (253 nucleotides) under uncultured bacterium. RNAcentral describes it as "partial 16S ribosomal RNA". It matches the Rfam family "Bacterial small subunit ribosomal RNA", at positions 524 to 776 of the family's 1533-position model. The record is from RNAcentral.